GACGAACGCUGGCGGCGUGCUUAACACAUGCAAGUCGAACGGAAAGGCCCUGCUUUUGUGGGGUGCUCGAGUGGCGAACGGGUGAGUAACACGUGAGUAACCUGCCCUUGACUUUGGGAUAACUUCAGGAAACUGGGGCUAAUACCGGAUAGGAGCUCCUGCUGCAUGGUGGGGGUUGGAAAGUUUCGGCGGUUGGGGAUGGACGCGCGGCUUAUCAGCUUGUUGGUGGGGUAGUGGCUUACCAAGGCUUUGACGGGUAGCCGGCAUGAGAGGGUGACCGGCCACAUUGGGACUGAGAUACGGCCCAGACGCCUACGGGAGGCAGCAGUGGGGAAUAUUGCACAAUGGGCGGAAGCCUGAUGCAGCAACGCCGCGUGCGGGAUGACGGCCUUCGGGUUGUAAACCGCUUUCGCCUGUGACGAAGCGUGAGUGACGGUAAUGGGUAAAGAAGCACCGGCUAACUACGUG
RNAcentral lists this ribosomal RNA (468 nucleotides) under uncultured bacterium. RNAcentral describes it as "partial 16S ribosomal RNA". It matches the Rfam family "Bacterial small subunit ribosomal RNA", at positions 28 to 507 of the family's 1533-position model. The record is from RNAcentral.